AAAGCAGAUCGCCUUAUCGCUAUUCGCUUAUGUGAAUAGAGGAAAGUCCGAACACCAUAGUGCAGUAUAGUGGCUAACAGCCAUCGGCCGCGAGGUUAGGAAUAGUGCAACAGAAAGAAUGUACAGGUUAUGCUGUAGUGAAAUCAUGUAAACUCUAUACGGUGCAAUGUCAUGUAAAUCAGUGUUUGAGUGCGGCACGUGCGAUAUUGAAGGGUAGGCAGCUAAAGUUUUUUGGUAACAACAAACGUAGAUAAAUGAUAAGGGCUCUUUUUUUGAGUACAGAAUUCGGCUUACAGAUCUGCUUUUUUU
RNAcentral lists this RNase P RNA (309 nucleotides) under Flavobacteriaceae bacterium. Its description in RNAcentral is "RNase P RNA component class A". It matches the Rfam family "Bacterial RNase P class A". Rfam says of the family: Ribonuclease P (RNase P) is a ubiquitous endoribonuclease, found in archaea, bacteria and eukarya as well as chloroplasts and mitochondria. Its best characterised activity is the generation of mature 5'-ends of tRNAs by cleaving the 5'-leader elements of precursor-tRNAs. Cellular RNase Ps are ribonucleoproteins. The record is from RNAcentral. Lineage: Bacteria; Pseudomonadati; Bacteroidota; Flavobacteriia; Flavobacteriales; Flavobacteriaceae.